GCCUGGGUGGCUCAGUGGGUUGAGCGUCUGACUUCAGCUCAGGUCAUGAUCUCGCCGACCGCGAGUUCGGUCCCUGCAUCGGGCU
This 85-nucleotide transfer RNA is filed under the name Felis catus (domestic cat). It matches the Rfam family "tRNA". Rfam says of the family: Transfer RNA (tRNA) molecules are approximately 80 nucleotides in length. Their secondary structure includes four short double-helical elements and three loops (D, anti-codon, and T loops). Lineage: Eukaryota; Metazoa; Chordata; Mammalia; Carnivora; Felidae. The record is from Rfam by way of RNAcentral.